RNAcentral lists this long non-coding RNA (1697 nucleotides) under Orbicella faveolata. RNAcentral describes it as "uncharacterized LOC110068555, transcript variant X2". The record is from RNAcentral. Lineage: Eukaryota; Metazoa; Cnidaria; Anthozoa; Scleractinia; Merulinidae.
UUUAUGAAACACCUCGUGCAGAACAUAUCGACGAAAGUUUGUUUUAUUGACAUUCUGUCGACAGACAUAAAUAACGUGCAAGGUAUUGGGUUUGUUGUUAAUGUUGCCUUGUGGAAUCACCAAAACAAAGUAUAGAUUUGAUUGAGGUGGAACACGGAAAGCUAAUAGAUUGCUCAAGGUAAUUAAACGAGGCCUAAUUUUGGUUUCGUUACGAGACUUUACAAGUCAAUACGCCUCAGUAAUGUAUGAAAGAUCAUCCCUUUUGUGAACAAAACUUAUAAGGAAUGCGCUGUUACGAAAAUAGCGGAUUUGAACCCAUGGCCCGGUUGAUUAGAGUCAUGCACUGAUAUCGCAGAGAUAGUGCCUUCGAAUCCCGUUCAAGCUUGAUAUUAAUUUCGCUUUAUUUUUUUCGAAAGUGUCCAAGUUGCGUUCACACUGCGAUGUUCUUUCAUGUGACAUGUCUUUCUCUCGCAGUUCAACUAUAUGAUAUUAUAUAUUCACUUGCUUAAACCGCAGUGACUGGAACCUAAAAUCAAAGCAGCCUAAAAAUUGUCUGUUGGCUGUGGUUUUAUUACUUCGUUUACCGUGGAGAACGCCGACAGACGUUUACCCGCCCUAGCCUUUGGCGCGCGGAGAGAGAUUUCACUGUGGUUUAUUUUCUGGCAGCUCUGGACUUGCACAUUGGAUAUUCGCUCUUCUUGGUAUUUGGGAUGCAUGGGCUCGCAAAUUUCCUUAAGACAGUACUACAACUCUGCGGUGAGACUUUUCACGCUUAGUCGCAGAAACUCGAGUGCUCCAUACGUUCUGAGGGUAAACAACAAUAUACCAGGGACAAAUAUAUUCUGUGGGAAGAUAAUCAAUUUGGUUAUAGACUGCAGAGUGAUACAGACUACACAACGAGUCCAAUUUGAUUCAGGCUGCCUUCUUUUCAAGCUUGAAGGAAAUACCACAUAACGCUGGAGAACCCUGGAUAUGAUGUACAGAUGUAAAGUCCCAAGCUUAUUUUCCAGCUAUUAGACCUAUUAGAAAAAUAUGGUUGUAAGUUAAUAUAAUAUUAGGAUUAGAAUUUUAGGUUUAGGAUCUUAGACAUUUUAUUAGACUUUAUUUUACCUGAAUUUUUUACCGUGUAUAAAUAAUGAUUAAAGAUCAAAGAUUAAAGAUUAAAGAACAACCUGUUUAUAGACUCAUCGAGGAGUUUUCAAUGCCAGAAGAGGAUGGACCUGAGCAAGAUGGUGUUAAUGACCAAGAGGAGGAACCUUAUCUUGAACCUGUAGAUUCAGAUGGAACUGCCCAUUAUAAUGCAACAUCGCCAGAAGAACCAGUUUACCACACUUUGGAAGAGUUACACAAAGAAACUCAGUGAUUAUCCUAACAUCAUCAAUGAACCAAUCUAUAACGUUCUUGAGUAGGAGCUUUAUCCAUAAGUCCUAGCAGAUGGCAAUAAUUAUGGUUUAGAGGGAUAGAAUAGACAAGGAGAUAAAUAAACAAAUAAACAACCAUUGUAUUUGUUCGUUCAGAUGAGAUUCAAACGAAAACACGUUAAAGAAAUAUCGAGGUGUUAAUAAUGUACAGUCUUGAACGUACCCUAAAAAUUGAACGGUGAAGGAAAACAAAGUAAACAGAUGUCUUAGUUGUUGCUAUACAUGUAUCAGAGGUCGUAUAAAGGGAAUUGAAAUAAAUUUUUUUUUUUAGAAGUA